Molecule: ribosomal RNA, 466 nt
Filed under: Vreelandella stevensii
Lineage: Bacteria; Pseudomonadati; Pseudomonadota; Gammaproteobacteria; Oceanospirillales; Halomonadaceae
Description: partial 16S ribosomal RNA
Rfam family: Bacterial small subunit ribosomal RNA
Source: RNAcentral
CCUACGGGAGGCUGCAGUGGGGAAUAUUGGACAAUGGGCGAAAGCCUGAUCCAGCCAUGCCGCGUGUGUGAAGAAGGCCUUCGGGUUGUAAAGCACUUUCAGUGGGGAAGAAAGCCUUGGGGCUAAUAACCUCGAGGAAGGACAUCACCCACAGAAGAAGCACCGGCUAACUCCGUGGCCAGCAGCCGCGGUAAUACGGAGGGUGCGAGCGUUAAUCGGAAUUACUGGGCGUAAAGCGCGCGUAGGCGGUCUGAUAAGCCGGUUGUGAAAGCCCCGGGCUCAACCUGGGAACGGCAUCCGGAACUGUCAGGCUAGAGUGCAGGAGAGGAAGGUAGAAUUCCCGGUGUAGCGGUGAAAUGCGUAGAGAUCGGGAGGAAUACCAGUGGCGAAGGCGGCCUUCUGGACUGACACUGACGCUGAGGUGCGAAAGCGUGGGUAGCAAACAGGAUUAGAUACCCCAGUAGUC